This 620-nucleotide ribosomal RNA is filed under the name uncultured bacterium. RNAcentral's name for it is "bacterial SSU rRNA". It matches the Rfam family "Bacterial small subunit ribosomal RNA", at positions 28 to 674 of the family's 1533-position model. The record is from RNAcentral.
GACGAACGCUGGCGGUGUGCUUCACACAUGCAAGUCGAACGGAGUAGCAAUACUCAGUGGCGGACGGGUGAGUAACACGUGGGAAUCUACCAUUAGGUGGGGAAUAACAGGCCGAAAGGACUGCUAAUGCCGCAUAUGUAGGCAUCUCGACAGAGAUGUUUAUGAAAGGAGUAAUCCGCCUUUUGAUGAGCCCGCGUCCGAUUAGCUAGUUGGUAGGGUAAAAGCCUACCAAGGCGACGAUCGGUAGGUGGUCUGAGAGGAUGAUCACCCACAAUGGGACUGAGACACGGCCCAUACUCCUACGGGAGGCAGCAGUGGGGAAUUUUACGCAAUGGGGGAAACCCUGACGUAGCGACACCGCGUGAGCGAAGAAGCCCUUUGGGGUGUAAAGCUCUGUCAACAGGAACGAAACAAAUGACGGUACCUGUGGAGGAAGCAUCGGCUAACUACGUGCCAGCAGCCGCGGUAAUACGUAGGGUCCGAGCGUUGUCCGGAAUUAUUGGGCGUAAAGAGUUCGUAGGCGGUUUGUUAAGUCUGAUGUUAAAGACCGGGGCUCAACCUCGGAAAUGCAUUGGAUACUGGCAGACUGGAGUGCAGUAGAGGCUAGUGGAAUUCCCAGU